GUGGGUAUUUUGGGCACUCGGAGAUCUCCCGGCAAGAUACUCUGGAAUCGUCGUAUCCAGAGAACACUAUUUGCAGUUCCACAAUACCAUGCAUCGGUUGACGGUGAAAAUGUGGAUGAAGUGAGUAUCUUGAGAAAUCUAUGGUUAUCUUUUUGGGAACAUGGUAUCCGGAGAAUACUGUUCGGAGCUCCACAAGGCCAGGCAGAAAUUGACGGAGAGGGUAUUGUCCAAGAGCAACCUCAACCGCCAAAUGAGGCGCCUUCGUUACCGCGAAGUGGAGAUCCGGAUCAAGCAAAUGAAGAA
Molecule: non-coding RNA, 303 nt
Organism: Styela clava
Lineage: Eukaryota; Metazoa; Chordata; Ascidiacea; Stolidobranchia; Styelidae
Source: RefSeq, a predicted model, not a curated record